CUAUUGACACAGUCUUGAAACUUUCCGGUCGCACCUCGUACAUAACUUUAAAAACGCCUAGAACAUGCCGCGAGGUAUUAAAUAGGCUAUAUUCUAGCGUGUAAAUGUUUGAGAAACUCCGAGUUAGUCUUCAAAGGCGUAUAUUUGCACUUACAUCUCUAAAAUAGUAAGCCUCAACCUUCGCUUUUAAAUUAAGAGGAUAUUUAGAUUGCAGGCACUUGUUUGGAAGUAAGAUAGUAUCAAAUUUACCGUUGGAAACUCGCGGUGUUAAUACGUUUUGGACACAAUAAAAACAUAACACAGGUUUACGCGUGCUUAAAAUGUUCGUUCAUGUGCACGACUCUUAAAAUAUUCGCAGCAGCAGCUUCACUUUUUUUUCUAACCGUCUGCUGCUAAUUUUAAAUCCCAUAUUGAGAGUUAAUAAUCUGUGCUUUUGCGUAGUCGGAUUGGCCAGAACGAAAGGCAAGUGCAUGCUUGUUGAUGACUACACCGACUACGUACUAGCCAGAGAUUUCUUUCUUCCCCCACCACGAAAUAUUGAAUUAGUUCACUCAGUUCCCGCAUUCUCCGGUGUGCUGUGGCGCAACUAGUUGUGUGGUAAUUGGGCGGAAUAUCAACAGGCAGAAACGUGCAUUUAAAGUGAAACUGUGUUAGUCCUGUGCGCUGGAACUUUUGGAUGGACGGAGUUCAAUUCCCCUUCAUCGCCACGUCAGGCACCCAACCAUCCUCCUAUCCGAUGGUUAACGGGAGCUCUCUCAAGAGGGUGAAGAGGCAAGAACAUGAAACUCUCCACUCAACUGAACCUGAGGUGAAGCAGCGAGUCACUUUGUCAUUUCAACGAUAAGCGUAGGAAUUUUGGAGUGUUCCACUCGGUUCUCCGAUUUCGCUGGUAUAUUUCUAGUCAGUGAUGGCCAGUUUGUGUGCAGGGUGCCACUUUUAAUUACACUUCAGUCUGACGUCCAAAACAAUAGAAUGUAGGGCUACGCAGUCAUCGUCUAGUCCCGUGUUCCACAACUGGUGUGCCACCACAAGGUUUCAGGAGUUCCGCG
Non-coding RNA from Zootermopsis nevadensis, 1049 nucleotides. NCBI's taxonomy places the organism in Eukaryota, Metazoa, Arthropoda, Insecta, Blattodea, Termopsidae. The record is from RefSeq and is a predicted model, not a curated record.